UACGGAGGGGGCUAGCGUUGUUCGGAAUUACUGGGCGUAAAGCGCGCGUAGGCGGACCUGCAAGUCGGGGGUGAAAGCCCGAGGCUCAACCUCGGAACUGCCUUCGAUACUGCGGGUCUCGAGUCCGGGAGAGGUGAGUGGAAUUCCGAGUGUAGAGGUGAAAUUCGUAGAUAUUCGCAAGAACACCCGUGGCGAAGGCGGCUCUCUGGGACGGUACUGACGCUGAGACGCGAAAGCGUGGGGAGCGAACAGG
RNAcentral lists this ribosomal RNA (253 nucleotides) under uncultured bacterium. RNAcentral's name for it is "partial 16S ribosomal RNA". It matches the Rfam family "Bacterial small subunit ribosomal RNA", at positions 524 to 776 of the family's 1533-position model. The record is from RNAcentral.